RNAcentral lists this microRNA precursor (97 nucleotides) under Marmota monax (woodchuck). Lineage: Eukaryota; Metazoa; Chordata; Mammalia; Rodentia; Sciuridae. The record is from RNAcentral.
AGUGGAAUUGCUGGGUCAUAGAAAUUUGUGUUUACUUUUAUAAGAAAUUGCCAAACAUUUUGCCAAAGCUGUACUAUUUUGAACUCCCACUAGCACA